RNAcentral lists this ribosomal RNA (396 nucleotides) under uncultured bacterium. RNAcentral's name for it is "partial 16S ribosomal RNA". It matches the Rfam family "Bacterial small subunit ribosomal RNA", at positions 361 to 774 of the family's 1533-position model. The record is from RNAcentral.
AUCUUGCGCAAUGGGCGAAAGCCUGACGCAGCCAUGCCGCGUGAAUGAUGAAGGCCUUAGGAUUGUAAAAUUCUUUCACCGGGGACGAUAAUGACGGUACGCGGAGAAGAAUCCCCGGCUAACUUCGUGCUAGCAGCCGCGGUAAUACGAAGGGGGCUAGCGUUGCUCGGAAUUACUGGGCGUAAAGGGCGCGUAGGCGGCUCGUUACGGCAGGGGUGAAAUCCCGGGGCUCAACCUCGUAACUGCCCUUGAUACUGGCGAUCUUGAGUAUGAGAGAGGUAUGUGGAACUCCGAGUGUAGAGGUGAAAUUCGUAGAUAUUCGGAAGAACACCAGUGGCGAAGGCGACAUACUGGCUCAUUACUGACGCUGAGGCGCGAAAGCGUGGGGAGCAAACA